Molecule: long non-coding RNA, 1745 nt
Filed under: Homo sapiens (human)
Lineage: Eukaryota; Metazoa; Chordata; Mammalia; Primates; Hominidae
Description: HSALNT0249024
Source: RNAcentral
UGAAAUCCAUAAAGGGAAGCCUGGGAGGAAUACUUCCUCUUUGCUGGAUGUGGCGUCUGCGUGUACCAUCUGGAAUUGCUGUAGCCAACUUACAAAUACAGACGAAAGCUUUAUCAACCUGCUGAGCACAGCAGAAUGGAAAGAUGCAAAGCACCCUGCUCUUGGGAACUGGCCACCUUCAGACUUCUUGCUACAUCAGGUUUUAUCUACUACAAAGGAUAUCACUUGGGAAGGAAUUUCUUGAAACUGCUCCCAAGAGAGCCAUUGGACCAUGUGGUAAACAACUCCUAGCUGAUGGAUUAUUGGGAAUAUUAACAUCAUCCAGAAUGCUAUGGGGAGAAGACAACUGGAAGCUCCGUGUGGACAAACCUCCUGGACUCUGCCCCACAUAUCUCUUCCCUUGGCUGAUUUGAAUUUGUAUCCUUUCACUGUGAUAAACCACAACCAGAUUAUUACAGCUGUCAGCAAGUUCUUCUAUUGAAUUGUUGAAACUGAGGGUGGUCUUGGGAACCCCUGAACUCUACUGUUGGUGUCAGGAGUGAGGGAAGUCUUGUGGACUGUACUCCCUGACCUCACAGUUAGAAGCUGACAGCUGACACGCCCUUCCUUUGUGCAUUUUAUCCUGGGACAAAAUGAGAAGACAUCCUUCAGUUCCCAUCUUGGAUGGCAUAACUUCAAAACCAAGGGAGAUGGAGGAGUUUUAGAGGAGUAGAAGGCUGCAAGCAAGAACUGAUGCAUUACAUCUCCAGUCACCUCACUCUAAGAUUGUCCUGUAGCUAAGACUGUUGAAUGAGACUGUUGUUCUUCAGUUUGCAGCCACAAAGCACGGAGGCAUCUCCCCAAGAAUCCACUGCAGGGAGGAUGAACAGCCCUUACCUGGAUUUUUGCUUUAUCUAAAAAUAUAUUUGUAGAAGAAGGAGCAUUCUAGUUUCCAAAUACAAAGGGCAAUCUCCUUCUCUGUGUGUGCACGUGCAAACAAACACACUUCUACAAGUAAGCAUUCUUCUUUAUUAUCAUAGUCAUCAUCAUCACUGGGUUGGCAACUAAAAACAAAACUACAAAACUCUCAUGUUAGCAGUUGAGUAACUUUUAAUAACCAGAUACAAACCAUUCUUCAUUGUUUACAAGGGGCAUUAAAAAGAAAAGGAGGUUGAACUGCAAUGUGAAGUGUAGUUAAAUAUGUAGACAUCUUGGAUUCUAGAAGAGUUUGUAAUGGAUUAAAGGGUUAAGCUAUGAAAUUGUUGCCCUCUGUGAUUUUUCCACACUAGAACAGACUGACAUGGUUUGAAGCAGUUGGGCUUUAACCUAUAGAUAGGAGGACAGAGAUGAUUGCCUAUGAAGCAAUUAUUAAAUAGCUGCAUUUUGGCAUGUUCUAGUUGAAAAGAUUUAGUUUUACCUAUAUCACCUCAUCAUCACUAAUUUAAUCAUCCUCAGAAAAUGCAAAAAUAAUGAUGUACAUUUGACAAGUCUUAUACAAAAUUAUGUUUCAUAGCUUUGUGGUCAGAAUUAAGCCAUGUUCUAAAAUACAAAUGAAUAGUUUACAGCCCACUAAUUCCUAACUGUAAGUGUUAAGUCUAUAUAAAAAUAAGAGACAAGCUUGUGAUCAGGAAUAGCUUCCAAUUAUGAAAAAUUUAAAUAAAAAUAAUAGAAUGUGCUUAAUUUAUUUAUCAUAUACAAAGUAGACAUAUGUGACCAAAAUGAUUCAUUAUUUUUACGAUUUUCAUGGGAAUAAGUUUGACAAUAUU